Molecule: ribosomal RNA, 229 nt
Filed under: uncultured bacterium
Lineage: Bacteria
Description: partial 16S ribosomal RNA
Rfam family: Bacterial small subunit ribosomal RNA
Source: RNAcentral
UGCGUAGGCGGGACAAUAAGUCAGUGGUGAAAUCCUGCAGCUUAACUGUAGAAUUGCCAUUGAUACUGUUGUUCUUGAGUUCAGUUGAGGUGGGCGGAAUGUGUAAUGUAGCGGUGAAAUGCUUAGAUAUUACACAGAACACCGAUUGCGAAGGCAGCUCACUAAACUGAUACUGACGCUGAUGCACGAAAGCGUGGGGAGCGAACAGGAUUAGAUACCCUGGUAGUCC